UGAGCUUCUUACUGGCCAGUCUUCUAUACAAAACCAUGAUCUACCCUCAUAUUCUCCAAUCUUCUCUUUCUCUCAUCUUUUUUUUACUUCCUGCAUUUUAACAGGCAGCGCCCAACCCAGCCACUCUCCCUUUGUGAUAUUUUCCUAAGCCAAGUAUUUCACCCUCCCUCUAUUGCCUCCAACCCAGGGAGGCCACACCUUGAGGGCUAGCCUUCCAUAACCAGAUUGGCCAUCAGAAUUUUCACCAAAUAAAAGACUGUUCUUUCUCUCAGGUAGCCUGCAAACAAGCCACUGACAGCUCAUGUGUUUGUAGAGAUGGGAUGGGAGUGGGGGUAGGAGAGGAGAACAUGGGAAGAGGGUGUGACAAGAGGUGUCCCUUGUGACGGGGACAAAAUAAACACAGUAAAAGAGAAUAACCUGGACAAUUUUCUGCUUCCCCAAAUAUCCACCUCACAGCCUCUAAUUCUGUGCUUUGUUCUUUGGGACUCUGAAAGCUUUUUGGUCUUCAAUAAUUCUCUAUUAAAAUGCAAAUACCUACUGGGAGUUGUUAAGCCUUAUCAGUUAAUAGUUGACUGUUGCAUGAACAUUGGAUCCUGCUCUAAUGGGGCCAGAAUGGCAGAGGGAUGGGGUGGAACUGCGGAAGGGCAAAUGGAUUCAGGAAGAAGGAGAAUACUGAAGGGGUCAUUUUGGGGUCUUUCUUAUAUUUUGACCAGCAUGAACUCUGCUUACCAUUAUCCAUAGCCCUCUCCUCUGCCUUCUCAAGAGGAGCAGUGUUAAAACGGUUGGUUUGUUGCCCUUUGCCCUGAGCAUAAGUUGAAUUAAGGAGGAACGCUGGAGCGUCUUUACUUUGUCAUGCCUAAAUUAGAAACAGUAAAAGUAACCCAAGGAAACAGCUACAACAGAAGGGCCCCUCCAGUCUAAAAUUAGCUCCGUUUGAUGCUUCAGUCUCGUGGUACACACGUGGCCUUGGUGGCUCAGCGGGUGGCAGCAAAGCCUGGACGUGGCCGGAUGAUGGGUGCGCUUCCUCAGUGGUAGGCUGAAUUUCUACUAGCGGACUUGCCAAUGUGCGCCCAUUAGGAAGGACAAAAGAGAGAGCGGACGCAUACUUCCCAGCUCCCAGAAAAACCAUAGGAACUCAUCGCGACCUCCAAAGGGAAUGAAGGUGUCCACCACCUGAGUCCCCAGCAGCCUUCCCGCCAAAGCACCUUUUCCAUCACCUGUCCGCUCUCUACCGUGCCCGCCGCGCACGUCUUCUCUCCCCGGCUGGAUGGCGAGCGUCUUCGGCGGGAGCCAAGGCUGCUUCAACCCCGAGCGCAAGUUCCAAAUGCUUUCGGAACAAAUGCACCCGGAAAGAAGGUGACAAUGCCGGGUCGUUCCCAAUAGAAUUGGAAAAUAAGUGAAGUCUAUCGCCUUCCCAUCCUUUUCCUCCAGGAUUCUGUUUUCCCUUUAAGGUGUGACAUUCGAAAUAUGGAACAACCAGCGAUGCACCAGCGCUAACCAAUCCGAAUAGAGGCGGGCCUGCUCAGAAGCGGGGUCCUGGGGCCGCCUGCUGUGCGGCGACAUUAGCGCUUUAGUUCCUGCAGCGUCAGUUCCAAGGGAGAGACUCCAUUGAGAAAGAUCAUUAAUGAAGAUGUUAAAUGAGACCAGAAUGAAGCCGCGUCCCCGUGGCAUCCCGCUAGACACCUUCCAACAACUUGACACUCUGCCAUUUGCUGUUUCAUUACCCUUUGUUUACCUCGUGAGCGCAGGCCCUUGCUUUAGAAAGAGGCAGAAAGCUUGAUAUUUCUGCUGCUGCCGGGAUGCCACUUUAGGGUGGGGAUAUUAAAACCUGGCAGAUUGUAAAUACAUCCUUUUGAGUUUGAAUUAAAUGUGGAUUAUGAAUAGAGCAUUGUCAGUAAAUACUUGGUUGCUCUCCCUCCUCUCAGAUGCCUUUGUUUUUCUCUGGACUUUCUGCAGCUGUUUUGUCUUUCCUGGAGCAGAGAAGGCCAGAUGUUUGCUGCAUGCAAAGAUCUUGCUUGGAUCAGCUUAACUAUGAACUGUAAGGUUUCUCUGUUACAUGUGAAAGCUGUGGUAGACGGAUUGCAUUCAUAGUCCCAGGGUUUCUCCCCUCCCUGACUCCAUGUCCUCACCAUGUAACCUUGCAGUGCCCUCCCACCCUGACUCUGGCCCAGCCGUGUGACUUUCUUUGACAGAAGAGAUUUUAGCAGACAAAUGCAGGCAUAGGCUUGAAAAAAUGCACUUGCCUGUCUCUCCUUGUGUUCUCGCACCCUCCACAAUUGCCAUGAAAACACACCUGGGAGAGCCUGUUGGAAGAUAAGACACACGAAGCAGAGCGAAGUUGCCCCAGCUGUCCAGUCAGGACCAGCCUAGAUCUUCUGACAACCGGAUGACCUCCAGAUGUGUGAAUGAGCCCAGCCCAGCCCAGCAGAGCCUGCUAGCCAACCACCAGAUGCAUGAACAAUGAGCAUAUUGCUUGUGAGGGCUUGUUGUUGCUUGUUACACAGCAUUAGCUGUGGAAAUAGAUAGCUGAUACAAUAGCACACAUUUAGAAUCUCAUGGACUGGAAACUCACUGAUCUCUCGAAGGUUUUGCACAUCAUGCAUCCCUUACAU
Molecule: long non-coding RNA, 2612 nt
Filed under: Equus caballus (horse)
Lineage: Eukaryota; Metazoa; Chordata; Mammalia; Perissodactyla; Equidae
Description: lncRNA (ENSECAG00000054623.1)
Source: RNAcentral